GACGAACGCUGGCGGCGUGCCUAAUACAUGCAAGUUGAGCGCUGAAGGUUGGUACUUGUACCGACUGGAUGAGCAGCGAACGGGUGAGUAACGCGUGGGGAAUCUGCCUUUGAGCGGGGGACAACAUUUGGAAACGAAUGCUAAUACCGCAUAAAAACUUUAAACACAAGUUUUAAGUUUGAAAGAUGCAAUUGCAUCACUCAAAGAUGAUCCCGCGUUGUAUUAGCUAGUUGGUGAGGUAAAGGCUCACCAAGGCGAUGAUACAUAGCCGACCUGAGAGGGUGAUCGGCCACAUUGGGACUGAGACACGGCCCAAACUCCUACGGGAGGCAGCAGUAGGGAAUCUUUGGCAAUGGACGAAAGUCUGACCGAGCAACGCCGCGUGAGUGAAGAAGGUUUUCGGAUCGUAAAACUCUGUUGGUAGAGAAGAACGUUGGUGAGAGUGGAAAGCUCAUCAAGUGACGGUAACUACCCAGAAAGGGACGGCUAACUACGUG
RNAcentral lists this ribosomal RNA (497 nucleotides) under uncultured bacterium. Its description in RNAcentral is "partial 16S ribosomal RNA". It matches the Rfam family "Bacterial small subunit ribosomal RNA", at positions 28 to 507 of the family's 1533-position model. The record is from RNAcentral.